Molecule: small nuclear RNA, 148 nt
Filed under: Erinaceus europaeus (western European hedgehog)
Lineage: Eukaryota; Metazoa; Chordata; Mammalia; Eulipotyphla; Erinaceidae
Description: U1 spliceosomal RNA
Rfam family: U1 spliceosomal RNA
About the family: U1 is a small nuclear RNA (snRNA) component of the spliceosome (involved in pre-mRNA splicing). Its 5' end forms complementary base pairs with the 5' splice junction, thus defining the 5' donor site of an intron.
Source: Rfam by way of RNAcentral
AUACUUACCUGGCAGGGGAGGUAUCAUGAUCACAAACGUGGUUUUCCUUGGGCAAGGCUUAUCCGUUGCACUCCAGAUGUGCUGACCCCAAAUAUGAGAAAACUGCAUAAUUUGUGACAGUAGGGGACUGUGUUCACAUUCUCCCCUG